CAAAAUCUCUGGAAAACAGCAGGAGAAAAGCAGCUUUUGCCAAAGCAGUGUCUAGAGGCACCGCCAUCAGAGAACACACAGAGAGGAUCCCGGCUCUUUCCUUUUGCCACCCAGAGUCCCGGUGCCAUCUGUGCAGCAUGCCAGCACCAGUGCCAGCGGCGCCACAAACCCUCACUCGGCUCCGGGAGGCCAUCUUGACGGAGAUCUUCACACCAGGAGCUAAGAUGGCUGGACUGGCACAUGAGAUGUGGACUGAACAUGGAAAAAGCAACACAUCAGAGCAAUGGAAACUGAAGCUCCUGAGGAACACAUGUGAUGAGUGCGAAAGCAGUUUGUCUUUAUUUAUUACAUAAACAAUUAGCUGUACUGUAUUAGAUUGUGUUUUUAUUCACAGGAUGGGACUCUUAAGCUGCUCAUUGCUAUUUAUUUUAUCAUAUUUUGUUAUGAAAAUAUGUUCUAAACCUGUAUUUUUUUAUUUUGAAUGAAUUGUUUUUGUCCUGACUACAUUAUAUUCUUUGUAUACAUUUUAUAUUGUACAUUUGUAGCUACCAAAUGCAUCUGACAGUUUUUUGUAUCCAUUUUAUUGUGCAUUUGU
Molecule: long non-coding RNA, 595 nt
Organism: Danio aesculapii
Lineage: Eukaryota; Metazoa; Chordata; Actinopteri; Cypriniformes; Danionidae
Exons: 3
Source: RefSeq, a predicted model, not a curated record